UGCCCAAGAGAUCGGGAUAACACCUGGAAACAGAUGCUAAUACCGGAUAACAACAGAUGAUGCCUAUCAACUGUUUAAAAGAUGGUUCUGCUAUCACUCUUGGAUGGACCUGCGGUGCAUUAGCUAGUUGGUAGGGUAACGGCCUACCAAGGCGAUGAUGCAUAGCCGAGUUGAGAGACUGAUCGGCCACAUUGGGACUGAGACACGGCCCAAACUCCUACGGGAGGCAGCAGGC
Molecule: ribosomal RNA, 235 nt
Filed under: uncultured Lactobacillus sp.
Lineage: Bacteria; Bacillati; Bacillota; Bacilli; Lactobacillales; Lactobacillaceae
Description: partial 16S ribosomal RNA
Rfam family: Bacterial small subunit ribosomal RNA
Source: RNAcentral